CCUACGGGAGGCAUCAGUGGGGAAUAUUGCACAAUGGGGGAAACCCUGAUGCAGCGACGCCGCUUGAGUGAAGAAGUAUUUCGGUAUGUAAAGCUCUAUCAGCAGGGAAGAAAAUGACGGUACCUGAUUAAGAAGCCCCGGCUAACUACGUGCCCGCAGCCGCGGUAAUACUUAGGGGGCAAGCGUUAUCCGGAUUUACGUGGUGUAAAGGGCGCGUAGACGGCAGCACAAGUUGUGAGAGAAAUGCCGGGGAUUAACCCCCGAACUGCUUUGGAAACUGCGCAGCUAGAGUGCAGGAGAGGUAAGGGGAAUGCCUAGUGUAGAGGUGAAAUGCGUAGAGAUUAGGAGGAACACCAGUGGCGAAGGCGGCUUACUGGACUGUAACUGACGUUGAGGCUCGAAAGCGUGGGGAGCAAACAGGAUUAGAUACCCGGGUAGUC
RNAcentral lists this ribosomal RNA (440 nucleotides) under uncultured bacterium. Its description in RNAcentral is "partial 16S ribosomal RNA". It matches the Rfam family "Bacterial small subunit ribosomal RNA", at positions 338 to 795 of the family's 1533-position model. The record is from RNAcentral.